Metopolophium dirhodum (rose-grain aphid) is the source of this 464-nucleotide long non-coding RNA. RefSeq lists it as uncharacterized. The record is from RefSeq and is a predicted model, not a curated record. The transcript has 3 exons. NCBI's taxonomy places the organism in Eukaryota, Metazoa, Arthropoda, Insecta, Hemiptera, Aphididae.
UCGCCAAAACCAGUUGUUCUCAUAUUGUAAUUUGUAUUAAAAAAUAUCCAUAGUUGCUGGUUUGGCGAUGAUGAAAACUGGUAAAAUUUGCGAUCCGUCCCCCCGCCACAUGGGCACGACUAGACCUCUAAAACGUGGGGUGCUAUAAUAGUUAAUACUAAGAUUUCAUUCAUGUUCUCUUAUUAUAGUGCAGGUGGUUGUGGUGCAAUUUUUGAAGUAUUUAUUUCCACGACAGAAUUCAAGGGAAUGAGUAUGGUAAAACAGCACCAACUUAUUACCGAAAUUUUAAAAGAUGAAAUUAAGUCAAUGCAUGGAAUACGAAUACAUACAGAAAUACCGGUUGAAAAUAACAAAUAUAAUUAAUUAUGUAUAAUAAAAAGAAAAUAGUUAUUGUAAAAUAGAAAAUGACUUUUCUGUUGUAUACAUUUUUUUUCAUUAUGAAUAAUAUGCUUCAUAUGUGAGGG